This 516-nucleotide ribosomal RNA is filed under the name Cantoria violacea. RNAcentral's name for it is "partial 16S ribosomal RNA". It matches the Rfam family "Bacterial large subunit ribosomal RNA", at positions 1813 to 2605 of the family's 2925-position model. The record is from RNAcentral. Lineage: Eukaryota; Metazoa; Chordata; Lepidosauria; Squamata; Homalopsidae.
ACAUAACCUUUAGCCACAAACAAGUAUUAAAGGCAACGCCUGCCCAGUGAACAAUUAAACGGCCGCGGUACCCUAACCGUGCAAAGGUAGCGUAAUCAUUUGUCUAUUAAUUGUAGACCUGUAUGAAAGGCAAAAUGAGGGCCUAACUGUCUCUUAUAAUAAAUCAAUUAAACUGAUCUUUUAGUACAAAAGCUAAAAUACCAACAUAAGACCAGAAGACCCUGUGAAGCUUUAACUAACCUAUUAAACCCAAUAAUAGCUACUUUCGGUUGGGGCGACCUUGGAAAAAAAAGAAACUUCCAAACUAUGACUAAAACUCAACAAAGGCCCACAAGCCCAUAACGACCCAGCACAGCUGAUAAUUGAACCAAGUUACUCCAGGGAUAACAGCGCUAUCUUCUUCAAGAGCCCAUAUCAAAAAGAAGGUUUACGACCUCGAUGUUGGAUCAGGACAUCCUAAUGGUGCAGCAGCUAUUAAGGGUUCGUUUGUUCAACGAUUAACAGUCCUACGUGAUC